CAAUAGGAUUACAUUCAAAGACUAUAAAAGUUUUGGUUAUUUACUUUUUACUCUGUCGUGGGAUUUGGACCAACUAUUUCAAAUUUUGAAUUAUUAUUAUUCUUGAAAUGGAAAACCCGAGAAAACCAUUUACAACAUUGGGCCAAAACUAUUUGUAGAUUGUAGAAAAACUACACAGGAGAAAUGUUGGAAUCGGACGACCAUCUAGAUGAUUGAGGAAACGAAACGCUUCUUGAAUUCUUUUCUGGCACACGACUCGGUUGCGCCCAUUUUGAUGUGGAACAGGAGGAGCAUGUUGCGUCUUUGUCAACGUAUUAUCUUCUACGAUGACGCGAUCGUUUUUGUGGUUUAGGAGUUUGGUUAUCUCGUCAUUCAAGUCUGUUGACAUGCGUUGGAAAGACAGGCAAUUCUCAUCCGUUUGCGUUUCAGCUAAACUAACAGCUGGAAGAGUUUGGACAAACUGCGUCCUUAAAAUCUUCUCAUCAACGUC
Molecule: long non-coding RNA, 490 nt
Organism: Daphnia pulicaria
Lineage: Eukaryota; Metazoa; Arthropoda; Branchiopoda; Diplostraca; Daphniidae
Exons: 3
Source: RefSeq, a predicted model, not a curated record